Molecule: long non-coding RNA, 3101 nt
Organism: Toxorhynchites rutilus septentrionalis
Lineage: Eukaryota; Metazoa; Arthropoda; Insecta; Diptera; Culicidae
Exons: 3
Source: RefSeq, a predicted model, not a curated record
GAUGCAAAAAAGUAGUUACACCAUUAAUGGACGGUUUAUUGUCUACCCAUCGUGAAAUCGAACCAACGAACUUAGACAGUUAUCAGGUAUGCAAUAAACGUCCUCGCGUUAGUAUUAGUAAAUAGCGUUCAGUUUGGGAGGAAUUCUAAACAAAAUUUUAGUUUACUUUGUCUCCGAGUUCAAUUUUGUGAAAAAACAUGCAGAAAAAUGGGUUUAUAUCAAUAAAAUUCACAAAUUUGUCAGUGUUUCUGAACACAACACUGCACGCUAUUUUAUAUGUGUGAGUAAUCUUCGUGUACGAUGCAAGAAAAUUUAGCUCACCUGUAGUAUAUGUCAAAUUACGUUGAACUCAAACAUCGAUACAUACAUACGUGAUACAUGAGAGAGAGAAACGAAUUCAUUUUGGGGGGAGUCACUUCAAUAUGCAUUGAGUCCAUUUGACAGUGGAGAAUGAAAUGUCAUGUUGUCAUGUUGACGGAGAAACUGCUGGAAGCAGCCAAAACUCAUUUUCAAUUGAAUACGAAGGCGAAUUUCUUCAUAGUCUACUGACUAUCUGGCCGGUAUUCAGUCAGACCGGACUAAGUAACAAAAUAAGAAAAAUAAGUUAAUACAAACAAUCAAGAAAUUUUUAAUCUACAUUCUACUUCGAUCAGAUCACACUUAUGUUACUAGCAGGAUGGUUUAUGGGAUAAAUUCAUUUUGACUGAUCAGCGAAAACUGAUAAUAGUAUGCAGUCAGUGUGGACCAAGUGCCUACGACCAUAGCGACUAGAGAGAAACUACGUUUUUCUUCCAACCAGAAAAUGGAAGGAAUUUCAAAUGAAAUAUUGGAUUUCUCCGCAUCAGAAGGUUCUUCCCUUCGUCCUUCAAUAAACACGGUAAAGUUACUCAUAUUGAAACAAAAUGUAUAUGCUUUUAAGACAAUUCAUAAUGAUUUAAAAGUUGAUCGAAUAUAUUAUUAUAUCUUGUUCAGACAGUGUGCACCAAGUGUCAGAGAGAAAAAAAUCGUAAUUACUAAACUUUUCAUAAUCGAUUCCAAAUCUAACCGUGGUAUAUUAUUGACUGCAAGUACUCUUCUUCACAAUCACGUUAACCCGUUUGUCGUUGAAACAUAUUUUGAAUAAAAAUCUAGUACAUACUAUAUAGUCGAUUAUUUUUGGUAGGGGAAAUAAUGUUUCAAGCCCUAAAACCGGUUUGUUUUAUUGUAGAGGUUUAGUGGAGGAUGUUACUGUUUAAAAUCCAUUUCGACUGCGUACUGAAUACAUUAUAUGAUUUCAUCAUUUAAUUUAAAGAAGGCCUGGGAAAUAUAUAUUUGAACAAAGUUCUUCUCAUGUCUUUGGAUAUUACCAACGUGAAUUGGUCAUAAAACGCGAGGUGCAGCAGGAUUUUCAAAAUGGAGGACUCCUGAAUUUGGGUACUUUCAGAUUGCAUAUUUUACAAGGUUGAUCAAUAGAUUAAUGGAUUCCCAAAGUUUAACUACAGACAAACCUGGGAUGCGAACCGAUUUGAGAAACCUUUUUACUAUUGACCCUAUUGAACUUUUUGAUAUUUGACGGAUUUUGGACAUAUCAGAGGAGCUCCAGCAGACUUAGCAGUGAAAUGUUGAUAGCAACAAAAGUAACAAGUUUGCUGACUAUGAUCAAUCGAUGUAAAUUAUUCGUUCGCUUCGAUUAUUGCCCACAAUCCAAUCGACGAAAAAAACAUCGACCUAACAACGACCGUAGCGCUGUUACUUAUUCACGAUGACGACGAUUAGGUAUCGACAUCUGGAUACGGCAUUAGUUUGUAUGAGGCAAACUAUUCUCUAUCAUAUUAGUCGGCCCGAAUCAGUUUAUAAUUGCUAAAAUUUGUAUGAAAUUUUUUUCUUGGCAUAAUUUUUCCUACUUAAAGUACGUUGUCAUGACCCUAAUUUGAAUUAUUUUCUAUAGACGUUCAGAUAUUCUCAAAAAAACUUGUCAUUAUAAUAUAAAAUUAUCUCAAAACAUAUUUUUUUAUGACGUUUUUUCACCACUUGUAGGCAAUGGUGAUUUUCACUUACAUAGAGUACUAAUUUGAUUAAGGAAAAAUCAUGUUCAUUCAUAAUUUUCAUUUUAAAAGUGUAUUCAUUCCUUCUGCAAAUCCAUACUGUCAUGCCUCUUCCCCAAUAUCGUCAACGCGAAUAGUUCGUUAGUCGAAAAUACUGAAUAAUUAAACAAACUAAAUGGCGUCACUGGUGGUUCUUUUUUCCACUCCGCUAAACUGUCAUCUCAAACAAAAACAAAUGGAUCAUACAACUGCUAUGAAUACAUUCGACUCGUUUGCUUCCAUCAAUCGGUAAGUGAGAAAGAUGAUUUCUCCCAUCACCACAGUGCGGAUUUCCACUUCUAUCACAGCAGCCAACAACAUCCGUUUUCCUGCUGCAGUAACCUCCAACCCCUGUUGGCAAUGCCGGGGAACAGCAUUAACAGCAGCAGCAGCAGCAGAAUUUGACCAUGGUAUGGUAUUGCGAAGAACUUUCCCCAUUAGAGGUUCCGUGCUUCGCGCACAUUCAAAAAUCCUCUUCAGACACGAAAACUCAAUGACAAGGAGGUAUUUAUCAACUUGCUCAGCUGAAUUACCACCCGGAGGAACCCGAAUGCACUGAUUCCGUUGUAUAGUAGAAUGAAAAUAGGCGAGGUAAGCGAACGUAAUCGCAUGAUAUUUUAAUGUUCGCAUUUUUAUCCGGAUCAUACAACUGCUAUGAAUACAUCCGACUCAAUCAAUCGGCGAAUGAGAAAGAUGAUUUCCCUCAUCACCACAUUGCUUAUUUCCACUUCUGUCACACCAGCCAACAGCAUCAGCUUUCCCGCAGCAGUAUCCUUUAAGUCCAGGGUGCUAUUCCGGGGAACAGCAUCAACAGCAACAGCAGCAGGACCUGGCCAUAGUAUUUCGGGCAAUUUUCCCCAUCGGAGAUCCCGUGCUUCACGCACAUUGAAGAAUCCUCCUCAGCCACAUAUCUGUGUCAUCGAGGGCAAAGAGGUAUUCAUCAAUGUACUCAGUCGGAUUUGAAUCGUCAAUCUAGACAACCCGGAUGCACCGAUUCCGUUAUAUACCUUAUUUUUAUUAUACAUGGAUUUUUAUUAU